UCGUCCCCUAGCUUUCGCGCCUCAGCGUCAGUGUCGGCCCAGCAACCCGCCUUCGCCGCAGGUGUUCCCCUCGAUAUCUACGCAUUUCACCGCUACACCGAGAAUUCCAGUUGCCCCUUCCGCACUCUAGCCCGACAGUAUCACUUGACCUAUCCGAGUUAAGCCCGGAGAUUUCACAAGUGACUUGUCGUGGCCGCCUACGCGCCCUUUACGCCCAG
This 218-nucleotide ribosomal RNA is filed under the name uncultured soil bacterium. RNAcentral describes it as "partial 16S ribosomal RNA". The record is from RNAcentral.